CUUGCAAUUUCCAGCACAAAGAUUUAUAAUACGCAUGCUGUGAACACAGUGAUGAUUCUGAAUGUUAUGCAGAAUAGUCGUUUUGGACUGGGGGGCGGUACCCCACAGCUCCACCAUUAAAAUAAAAAACUUUUAUGGGGCUGACAUAGUUUCGACAGGCGCAGUAAAAGCAAUAACUUGAAUCCGACAUAGUUGUCGUUAAACACUAACUAAAAACUGAAUGGCGAUAGAAUCGCUGCGAACGACAAUGUUCGCCUUGCAAUGGCUGCCUAAUAUG
This 277-nucleotide transfer-messenger RNA is filed under the name bovine gut metagenome. Its description in RNAcentral is "Alphaproteobacteria transfer-messenger RNA". It matches the Rfam family "Alphaproteobacteria transfer-messenger RNA", at positions 4 to 274 of the family's 355-position model. Rfam says of the family: Bacterial tmRNA, also known as 10Sa RNA or SsrA, is named for its dual tRNA and mRNA-like properties. Its role is to liberate the mRNA from a stalled ribosome. The record is from RNAcentral.